UUGUAUGUGUGAAUAUUUCCCUUUACUCCAAAUAUUGUUUAAAGUUUUAAUUUUUGGAUAAUGCUGUUUUUAAAGAGAAGAAAAGGAACUAACGGUUCUUUCUGGGCAGCUUCUAAAUAAUUUCUUGUAACUUGUGUGGAGUUGUCUGUACUAAUAAAUGGUUCAUAGAGGUUGAAGUUUGUCUUUUAACCUGGAUUUAUAAUGACUUCUUCUGUAGGAAUAAACCAUUUGUAUUACUGUUCUUGCUGUGACUUUAUAUACAUUUAGUGAAACACUAGCAUAUCCAAGCAUUAAUAUCUUAAAAAGGAUAAACUUUUUACAAAUUCCAAAUCCAGAAGAACUCUUAUUUAAGUUCAUUGACCUAUGAGGAGCUAUCCGUGAUCAUUUUUAUUGCUUAUUGUGCUAAUGUUGUGUUCUUGUUAUCAAGAACUUUGAACACACUUUUUUAAGACAUGCCUAAUUGGUGUGAUAGAUAUGCAAGUUAUAGGUUUUGCCCAGGAACCGUCUUGAUCUUAACUAUCAAUCAACUACUUUUCAAAAUCAGUUAUAAGAAUCUUUUGUAUCCAUUCUGGUCUAUUUGAGUCCAUUUAUUUCCAUACUAGAUAAUUGUCGUUUAAGUCAAAACAGAGAAUUUCUAAAAUAAGAUUCUUUAAUAUAACCUUGUCCUAACACUGGUGCACAAUGCUCUAGCCAGACUACAAAGGCUUUUGGAAAAUCGCUGGACCUCAGGUUAAUACGAAUAGCUAAACUUUAGUUCUAACUAGGUGAUAUCGCCUAUAUGGAUCCGCUGUUUCUAGUUCGUUCUAUUCUUAGCUAAAUCCUUAGAUUAUAAGUCUUUUAAGACAAUUUCUUUCCAUAUGAUUUUAGAUGUACUUCAUCUUCUUUCAGCAAUUUCAAUCAUUAUUGUGUUGCACCUACUCACCAAUGCAUUUGCAUGUCUAUGCGGGACAUGGGAAAAACCAUCUCACUCAAUCAUUUAUCCUUUAUUUGUGCUACUUGCACUCUAUGUCGGAUUUGAUCAAUCAUACACUUGUCUAACAUUAUAUGACUGCAUUUCUAUCUCAAUAGCAGUAUUUUUACGACACUCUUCUUGUGGAUAUGUUGGGUCUUAGAGGUCCAGUAUUCACUCUCGUAUAACAUUGUUGGUCUCUCAAUCCUUCUGUAUGCUUGCAUUUCAGUUUGUUAGGUAUCUUAUAUCCGUCUAUUCUCAUAAUACACUCAUAAUAUCAUAUAUCAAUCAUCAAAUUUCAGUUCUAUGUGUUGUGUCUCCGUCAAUCAUGUCAUUCUCUUAGAAGACACAAAACCACAAUGACUUCUAAUUUCACUUCAUUCUUUUUAUGGAGUCUAACUUACGCCGCAUUUGUUCUUACUUCUACUUAUUCUAAAACUUUUAAUCUCAUUAGUGCUUCCCUAUAGUUUAACUUUUGAUUAACUCUCCUGUUAGUUUCGUCAAGUAACACAAUAUCGAUCUACAAGUAGCAUAAGAUAAAACCUCAUCCUCACCAUUAUUAGUUAACCAUCUGUGUAAUCCCGCAGUUGCAAAGUGACCCCUCUACAAUGAUUCCUCGGUGCUUAUAGGAAAACUCAGAAAUUAGUUUAUCCAUGAUUGAAGUUUUGAGGCUUCCAAUGUUUGCACGGAUAGUUGCAGCCAUUGGGAUGUCAAACCUACUAACAGAAUAGGGUGGAAACAGUGGCCAUUUUGUAUCCUUGUAAUGCAUAUUGUUUCGUUCUCUAGGUUCUGUUCAUUUUCUUCAAUCCAAAAGGUGUUGAUUUUGUGCUGUGGCUUGAAACUGAUGUGUCCCUGAACAUUCUAAUGCGUUUGGAUGAUCCAGCUGAUGUGGUCUGUGCUGGUGCUGUUUCACGCCUCUGGCGCAAAUUUGUGGCUACUAAUGGAAUUUCCAAGCAUCUGUGUCUGAGAAAGUUCCGCAGCUUUCUAGAAUUGCACGUAUAGCAGAACCAGAUUUGAGGGUAGCAGAAGGAAAAGAUGUUGAGUCUAGCAAUUCCAGUUGGGAGACUCUAAAAAGAGACCAUAAUGUUUAUGCUUCUCUACUUCAAGCUAUUGAAACAUCAAAUUCAUGUCCAAGUAAUUGCAUAGGUAAUGCAGUUAGCGCUAAGUACGGACCAUUAUCCAGAUCAAAGUAUUGUGCAUACUCUAGUUCCAAGAGACAGAUAUCAAGAUUUACCUUCAUACUGGUCAAGUAUAGGACACAGUGAUCCCAAUGCUUCCGAGAUGCUAGUUUACAAAUUGAAAGCUGAUCUUUGUGUCAUCACUGAAAUAAAGAUACAACCUUUUAAAGGUGAUUUGUUCAUUCUCUCUUAUCAUCACCUUGGGCACUAAAUUCCCUCUCGACUAUUCCCAAUCAGACUUCCAAACUUUUUUUUGUUGCUCUUUUGCUAAGAUACAAACAUUUCCAAAUCAGUUUAUUUCCAUCAAGGAAAGCCCAUAUACUCCGCAAAAUCUGUUCGGUUUCGAUUAGGACACCCCAAAUCCUCAAGAGAUAAGAGUGAUCUUCUGCACUUGCCCGAGCGACAGCCUGCUGAUGACAAGUUUAUAUGGACGUAUA
Lycium ferocissimum is the source of this 2564-nucleotide long non-coding RNA. RefSeq lists it as uncharacterized. NCBI's taxonomy places the organism in Eukaryota, Viridiplantae, Streptophyta, Magnoliopsida, Solanales, Solanaceae. The transcript has 3 exons. The record is from RefSeq and is a predicted model, not a curated record.